This 497-nucleotide ribosomal RNA is filed under the name uncultured bacterium. RNAcentral describes it as "partial 16S ribosomal RNA". It matches the Rfam family "Bacterial small subunit ribosomal RNA", at positions 28 to 507 of the family's 1533-position model. The record is from RNAcentral.
GAUGAACGCUGGCGGCGUGCCUAAUACAUGCAAGUCGAGCGAACAGACGAGGAGCUUGCUCCUCUGACGUUAGCGGCGGACGGGUGAGUAACACGUGGAUAACCUACCUAUAAGACUGGGAUAACUUCGGGAAACCGGAGCUAAUACCGGAUAAUAUAUUGAACCGCAUGGUUCAAUAGUGAAAGACGGUUUUGCUGUCACUUAUAGAUGGAUCCGCGCCGCAUUAGCUAGUUGGUAAGGUAACGGCUUACCAAGGCGACGAUGCGUAGCCGACCUGAGAGGGUGAUCGGCCACACUGGAACGGAGACACGGUCCAGACUCCUACGGGAGGCAGCAGUAGGGAAUGUUCCGCAAUGGGCGAAAGCCUGACAGAGCAACGCCGCGUGAGUGAUGAAGGUCUUCGGAUCGUAAAGCUCUGUUAUUGGGGAAGAACAGAUGUGUAAGUAACUAUGCACGUCUUGACGGUACCUAAUCAAGAAGCCACGGCUAACUACGUG